UUUCAAUUAUGUCCUGCACAGUACGAGUA
This 29-nucleotide non-coding RNA is filed under the name Rattus norvegicus (Norway rat). Lineage: Eukaryota; Metazoa; Chordata; Mammalia; Rodentia; Muridae. The record is from RNAcentral.